This 355-nucleotide long non-coding RNA is filed under the name Struthio camelus australis. RNAcentral describes it as "lncRNA (ENSSCUG00000012143.1)". Lineage: Eukaryota; Metazoa; Chordata; Aves; Struthioniformes; Struthionidae. The record is from RNAcentral.
UUCUCAGCCCAGGGUGUUAGCCACAAGACAAAUGAUCCUCUUGAAGGCCUCUGAGGAAAAUACCGUCUGUGGAUGCUUCACUCAGUGGUUGACAGUAAACAGAAGAAAGGAUGAGAUGCUGCAAUACCACUGUAAUGAGGCAUCCAGGUUUAUCCCCAGCUGGAGAAAAGAUACCUAACAAACAUAGCUGCUCUUGCAGGACCACUGCGUGCAGAAGAUAAAUGUCAUCAAGCUCCCAUCUAUUUAUAUGUGCCAUGAAGUUGGAAGCAAGAAAAUGAGAGCUUCAAAAAGGUAAAAUGUGUGUGUGUGUAUCUAUCUAUCUAUAUAAAAAUAAAAGAAAACAAAAUCUUAUCCA